Long non-coding RNA from Hevea brasiliensis (rubber tree), 1586 nucleotides. RefSeq lists it as uncharacterized. The record is from RefSeq and is a predicted model, not a curated record. Lineage: Eukaryota; Viridiplantae; Streptophyta; Magnoliopsida; Malpighiales; Euphorbiaceae. The transcript is spliced from 4 exons.
UUUAAUUGGAAAACUUCCAUCAAUCAAUUUAUGCAUAAACACCAAUCAACCAGUCCCUCCUCUACUGUUACUAAUCUUUCCUUCUUUAAUUAGAGGAGUCUGCUUCCUUUUCUUCUUCUUCUUCUUCUUCUUCAAAUCUGUAUGUAUUGAACUUUUGCUUUAUUUUCUUGCUUAUCCAAGAAAGAAAAGAUUAGUUUUGCUUUUUUCAUUUAUCUUUUUCUAUUUUUUCAACAACUAACUGGUUCUUGAAAUAUAUAUAGUCAUGAACAAAUUUUGAUUCUUUCUUUUUGGUUUUUUGGCUGAAUCUAACAUGGAAGUUUUCUUAAAAAUCAGACCCACAUACCAAAAUUAAUCUGUGAAUUCUGAAAUUGCAUAGACAGUUUUCGAUUCUCUGUUUGUUGAUUUUUUUUGUUUUUUUUUUCUUUUUCCCAUUUUAUUCAUGAUAUUUAUAAUAAAAUAGUAUAAAAUAUGUGUCUACUUUAAAAUCCAAAAGCAGGGUUUGGUUUGGUUUUGUUUUGUCUCGUCUUUGGUCGCUAUGUUGAAGGUUGAGUUCAAAACCAGGAGAGUGGAUUUUUUUCUCGGCCACCCCCUUCACGUAAUCCAUUUGGAUUUUAACCAGUGGUAACAGGCCACGUCAGAUAGUGCUCGUGGCCUUGUUGCUACAUAUGGGUUAUAGAAAAUUUUUCUUUAAUAAUCACAAAAUGUUUAUGAAAUUUGCUUUGGUGCCUUUGCAUCCCUAUAUAUACUGAUGGAAGGAGGAACUUUUUGUGCAUGGAUAGAUUGACAGUCGUUGUUUGCGGGUGUAGCACCAUCAAGAUUCACAUGCAAAUGCACGGUGGUGAUUCUCUCUCUCUCUCACUCUCUCUCUCUCUCUCUCUCUCUCUCUCUUUCUUCAUCUCUAUGAACCAAAGUUCUUUGAAAGUGAGAAUCUUGAUGAUGCUGCAUCGGCAAUAAACGACUAUACAAAAAGGGAAGACUCAUAUAUGCACAGUUUAGAAAGAGAAGUGUAGUGAUCUUAUAGGUUUCAAGAACCUUUCGGUGGCUGACUUUGCAGAUCUAUGAUUAUUCCCCUCCUAGGAAACUAUUCUGGGACGCAAAUCGUAUAUUCUAUUAGUUUCUUCUUGCAGAUGUGAUGGGACUUCCUCAAAACAAGUUAACUCAAGAAACAAGAGGAAGAGGAAGAGGGAGAGAGAAAGAAAGAAAGAAAGAAUCUUGAUGAUGAUGAUGCUUCAGUAAUUGGAAAGGAAAAGUCCAAGCUAUAUGCUAUGGAGGGUUCUGGCUCAUGAGGUUGAAGAAACUCUUAAGUGGCCAGUUGGAACAAUUUGAGCAUGAUCAGCUGAGAAUAAGCAGCGUGGGAUAUCAAGAAAUUCAAUCAAGGUAGAAGUGAAGUAAUUAAAACUUGGAAUGAGGAAAACUUUGCAGAAUCAUAGGGAAGUGUAAAGCAGUGGGCAAGAUAUUUCUGUAUAUAUUACUUUUUUCAUGGAAAGUGGGAACCAUUUCUUGAGGAUACUAAUUCCCAUAGUACUCUAUGUAUGAUCGAUAUUAUCUUCUCCUACAUCAGUGCAGUAUUUAUCCUAUGUUAUAUA